RNAcentral lists this ribosomal RNA (429 nucleotides) under uncultured bacterium. RNAcentral's name for it is "bacterial SSU rRNA". It matches the Rfam family "Bacterial small subunit ribosomal RNA", at positions 355 to 775 of the family's 1533-position model. The record is from RNAcentral.
UCGAGAAUUUUUCUCAAUGGGCGAAAGCCUGAAGGAGCGACGCCGCGUGGGGGAUGAAGGGUUUCGAUCCGUAAACCCCUGUCAUUUGCGAACAAAGCUCCGCUGUGAACAGCAGCGAGAGUUGAUAGUAGUGAAAGAGGAAGGGACGGCUAACUCUGUGCCAGCAGCCGCGGUAAUACAGAGGUCCCGAGCGUUGUUCGGAUUCACUGGGCGUAAAGGGUGCGUAGGUGGCUUCGCAAGUUCGAUGUGAAAUCUCCGGGCUUAACCCGGAAAUGGCAUUGAAUACUGCGUGAGCUCGAGGGUUGGAGGGGGGACUGGAAUUCUCGGUGUAGCAGUGAAAUGCGUAGAUAUCGAGAGGAACACCAGUGGCGAAGGCGAGUCCCUGGACAACCCCUGACACUGAGGCACGAAAGCUAGGGGAGCAAACAG